This is a long non-coding RNA of Ictalurus punctatus (channel catfish), 827 nucleotides long. The record is from Ensembl. Lineage: Eukaryota; Metazoa; Chordata; Actinopteri; Siluriformes; Ictaluridae.
AUUUGAAUGAACGGUAAUAGAAUGAAUAAACACACUAAACUACUCUAAACUAUACAAAAUACGCCAUCUAGUGGUGAACUAUCACACACACACACAUACACACACAUACUAGCCUACUACCUAGUACAGUCAAUAAAUUAGUACAAAGGAGUGUGUUCAGGCCUCAGUGGAGCAUAUCCAGGCGCACUAGCCUGUUUCCUGAGCUCAUGGCGUAUUACAUACAAGGUAAAAUGGGGAAUCUGUGGGCUAGCACAGGUCUGUAUGAUGAUACCAAAUAUUCAUUCAUCGAUCCGGAUUACCACAUAAACAUAGAGGAUUAUUUUCAACAUGUUAACGUCAUUGAACAGGUGAGCUCAGAUAGCCCUACAGACAUGAUGCUGGUUAAGAAGGAGCAGAAAGAUGCCGAGCUGGAUAGGAAGAUUGAGGCGUUGCGAAAGAAGAACGAGGCCCUUAUGAAGCGCUAUCAGGAGGUGGAGGAGGAUAAGAAACGGGGCGGAGCAGGAGGGCAUGGCAAUGCAGAGCCGCAAAGGGAAGGUUGAGGACCUGACCAUCACCAUCAACAAGUCCCCAACUGAGAAGCGUGUUGUAACCAAGAAGGGUUGGGAGAUGCAAUUCCUAAAGGGGUGAAGAACCAGGAGGACGUGUCCGACAUUUUUAGUGCUGGCCGUGGUAAAAGGAGGCAGCUUCUAGUCACUGCACCAGGAAACACUAAGGUUGGAAAGAAGCAGGAACGAAAGUGUCGAGUUGAAGGUGGUCAUCAUGGAUUCACUGAGUAUAACCCCUAUCCCCAGCAAACCGAAGUGCUGACUGAUCUCAGCAUCCCCACG